This 301-nucleotide ribosomal RNA is filed under the name uncultured bacterium. Its description in RNAcentral is "partial 16S ribosomal RNA". It matches the Rfam family "Bacterial small subunit ribosomal RNA", at positions 509 to 808 of the family's 1533-position model. The record is from RNAcentral.
CAGCAGCCACGGGAAUACAGAGGGUGCAAGCGUUAAUCGGAGUUACUGGGCGUAAAGGGCGCGUAGGCGGUUAUUUAAGUGAGUUGUGAAAUCCCUGGGCUUAACCUAGGAACUGCAACUUAUACUGGAUAGCUGGAGUACUGUAGAGGGUAGUGGAAUUUCCGGUGUAGCGGUGAAAUGCGUAGAGAUCGGAAGGAACACCAGUGGCGAAGGCGGCUACCUGGACAGAUACUGACGCUGAGGCGCGAGAGCGUGGGGAGCAAACAGGAUUAGAUACCCGCGAGUCCCUGUCUCUUAUACA